Molecule: ribosomal RNA, 500 nt
Filed under: uncultured bacterium
Lineage: Bacteria
Description: partial 16S ribosomal RNA
Rfam family: Bacterial small subunit ribosomal RNA
Source: RNAcentral
AUUGAACGCUGGCGGCAUGCCUUACACAUGCAAGUCGAACGGCAGCACGGGAGCAAUCCUGGUGGCGAGUGGCGAACGGGUGAGUAAAGUAUCGGAACGUGCCCAGUCGUGGGGGAUAACGUAGCGAAAGUUACGCUAAUACCGCAUACUAUCUAUGGAUGAAAGCGGGGGAUCGCAAGACCUCGCGCGAUUGGAGCGGCCGAUAUCAGAAUAGGUAGUUGGUGGGGUAAAGGCUCACCAAGCCGACGAUCUGUAGCUGGUCUGAGAGGACGACCAGCCACACUGGGACUGAGACACGGCCCAGACUCCUACGGGAGGCAGCAGUGGGGAAUUUUGGACAAUGGGCGAAAGCCUGAUCCAGCCAUGCCGCGUGCAGGAUGAAGGCCUUCGGGUUGUAAACUGCUUUUGUACGGAACGAAAAGGUUUGGGCUAAUAAGCUGAGCUCAUGACGGUACCGUAAGAAUAAGCACCGGCUAACUACGUGCCAGCCGCCGCGGUAA